ACAUUCAGUCUGGCCCCAUACCACCCUGAGUGUGCUGGAUCUCAUCAGAUCUUGGAAGCUAAGCAGGGUUGGGCCUGGUUCGUACUCGCACGGAAGACCACGCGAUUGAAUAUA
Molecule: ribosomal RNA, 114 nt
Filed under: Panthera tigris altaica (Amur tiger)
Lineage: Eukaryota; Metazoa; Chordata; Mammalia; Carnivora; Felidae
Source: RNAcentral